AAAUCUCAACUUUAUUAGAAGAGACGCAUUUAUUAGAUAAAAAGCCAAUGCAUGCUUUUACAGUAUGGAAAUUGGUGAUUUAUAAUAACUUGGCAAAUCGCAAAGUGAAAACAGGCGAUAAAUCAUUCAAGUUUCUGACCUAUCAGCUUUCGACGGUAUGGUAUUGGCUUACCGUGGCAGUGACGGUUAACGGGGGAUUAGGGUUCGAUUCCGGAGAGGGAGCCUGAGAAACGGCUACCACAUCUAAGGAAGGCAGCAGGCGCGCAAAUUACCCAAUUCUAACAGUUUGAGAGAGGUAGUAACAAGAAAUAACAAUACAAGGCAAUUAAAAUGCUUUGUAAUUGGAAUGAUAGAAAUUUAAACCCUUUUUAAAGUAUCAAUUGGAGGGCAAGUCUGGUGCCAGCAGCCGCGGUAAUUCCAGCUCCAAUAGCGUAUAUUAAAAUUGUUGCAGUUAAAAAGCUCGUAGUUGAAGUUCUGCUAAAAGUAACCGGUCUGCUUUUAAUAAAAGUGGUAUCUUGGUGUGUAUUUAGCAAUGAUGUCCUUUGAAGUGUUUUUUACUUUAUUGUAAUAAAGCAUAUUCAGGACUUUUACUUUGAGAAAAUUAGAGUGUUUCUAGCAGGCCGACGCUUUGAAUACUGCAGCAU
RNAcentral lists this ribosomal RNA (644 nucleotides) under Hepatozoon canis. Its description in RNAcentral is "bacterial SSU rRNA". It matches the Rfam family "Eukaryotic small subunit ribosomal RNA", at positions 174 to 810 of the family's 1831-position model. Lineage: Eukaryota; Apicomplexa; Hepatozoidae. The record is from RNAcentral.